Molecule: unclassified non-coding RNA, 352 nt
Filed under: soil metagenome
Description: partial contains 5.8S ribosomal RNA, internal transcribed spacer 2, and large subunit ribosomal RNA
Rfam family: 5.8S ribosomal RNA (bases 1-120)
Source: RNAcentral
GAUGAAGAACGCAGCGAAAUGCGAUAAGUAAUGUGAAUUGCAGAAUCCAGUGAAUCAUCGAAUCUUUGAACGCACAUUGCGCCCGCCAGUAUUCUGGCGGGCAUGCCUGUUCGAGCGUCAUUACAACCCUCAGGCCCCCGGGCCUGGCGUUGGGGAUCGGCGGAAGCCCCCUGUGGGCACACGCCGUCCCUCAAAUACAGUGGCGGUCCCGCCGCAGCUUCCAUUGCGUAGUAGCUAACACCUCGCAACUGGAGAGCGGCGCGGCCAUGCCGUAAAACACCCAACUUCUGAAUGUUGACCUCGAAUCAGGUAGGAAUACCCGCUGAACUUAAGCAUAUCAAUAAGCGGAGGA